UGUGUUUUCGUUGUGUUUUGGUGCAGUUUUUUCUUGUGCUUUGGGUAGCGUAGUGCACCUUCUCCCUUUGCUAGUUUCCUCCUAAGAAAAACUUACGUCUUUUGGAUAUCUCAUGGCAUUCCAACCCAAAGACGAACCUAGGUCCUUGCAUAGAGCCAUUUCCACCGCCAUGUCACCGUAUUCUCACCGUAUUCUUUUUC
RNAcentral lists this long non-coding RNA (200 nucleotides) under Vigna radiata. RNAcentral describes it as "long non-coding RNA (VRAD_LNC011946)". Lineage: Eukaryota; Viridiplantae; Streptophyta; Magnoliopsida; Fabales; Fabaceae. The record is from RNAcentral.